GUAAAGUUUAGUAUUCCCUCGAGAGUUCGCAGUUGGGGAAGAAAAGUGCGUAAGAAGGUACGUAUAUGUCUCUAUUAAUCCUCUUAAUAAGCGAAAGUACUGAAUUUUGUUGUUUAUCCUCCUCGCCUCCAAGGAGCCUAGCGAUCUGGCCUAGGCUGCAUAUGAGUUCUGAUUCUAGGCCUCUAACCUAGUCAUUUAAAGUCAGGGCCUUCAUGAAUUUGCCUAGGCCUAUACCCACGUGCACGGCCAUACUCUUGACUCGUUUAUAUAGGCCUUCUAGGUCUCAGAUGGGGACGUAAUGAUGAAACUGUUCAAUAAUCAGAUCACAGUGUUGUUUGCGCCAAAGUAGUUUUUCGAGGCAUAAAGCAAUAUAUUUUAAGAACUACUACUAGCUAGGCCUAGCCUAGGUACUGUAGGACGUCUCUAACGGCUAGGUAAUUAGAUCUAAGCUUGUAUAGGCAAGGCCUAAGCCUACCUCAUAUUAUCACAUAGGCCCUAGGCCUAGGAGGGAACAUUCUUAUUGAUAUAUAAUGAGGAAUUUAGUAUUCUUCUGUCUGAUUUAAAAAAAAUUGUAAUACUGGCAUGGUAGAUGCAUCCUGACAAUGAUGUUUUUUCAGUUUCGAAAACAGUGUUACUCGCUCUCGAUCGUAUUUUCCCAAACUCGCUAGGCCUAGCCUGGGCCUAGAUUAUAACUAGAAUCCAUAAAAACAGACGUGGUAUCCCUUUAGUCAGGACAUACAACCAGCUCAUUGUGUAGAAAUAUACUACUGUAUAGAAAAACAGAUCUGAUGAGGAUAUAAUAAUGCCUUCAUUUUAUCUAAAAAAAUGUGUUAAAAAAACACCAUAGCACUGAAACUGCACUGAUUUGUGUAAGGGCACAUAUAAAAAAUUAUUAGAUUAUCAUUCUUUUUGUAACAAAAAUUGAUGAGGAAGGGGAGUUUUUUUUAUUUUUUUUUAAUCGGAACAAUAGAUUAAUUCGCUUUUGUUUUCAUUGAUGAGGGAGGGUCUGUUCAUAUUUGGUCUGUAAUAGUAAUUAUUGUGCAAAAAUUGGUUUAAUUUUAUAGUUUUUUAAAACCCAUUCAGUCCCAAAAGUGCUUUAGGCGCUUUCUAAUUAUCAUCAUCAAUUAAUUAAUUAAAUGUAUUACAUGUCAUAUAAAUGUCAAUAAAAUUUAUCGUCCUGUGUAUUUUUGACACCUUUUUAAAAAGAAAUAAAUCACUGCGGGACAAAAAACUAAAUUGAGGCAAUUAAAGUCAAAAGGCUCAAAAGAUACUGUAGGACUAUCAUUUAGAUUUUUUGGCAUGCUCUGUCCCAUUUUUAAUUAAUUUGUGACCUUAGGUCACAGUGGAACUAUAGGGAUAAUACAGCAGAUGUGAAAUGUGUGUGUGAGAUGUAUGUGCAGAACAUGUUUUUAAACAAAUGGGCUCAUAAACGUCACCUCGCGGAGGGUACUGUAUAAAGUGUUUGAUUUUAGAAUUUAGAAAUUCAGAAUUUUACGAAAGGGAAGCAAACUUGCAUCUCUCAUUCAAAUUUGCCACAACUUCUUGUGUAGUCAAAAUGUGAUCCGAACACAGGUUUUAACAUAAUAUUCAUAGAUGUACAGUAUAUGUCACUCAUUACAGAUAACUAUGGAAACUGACAGCGAUACUGAUACUCUCAUUAUAUCUGAUAUUGAACAAGCAUGUCUGUGAAUUUUGCCGAACAUAAAAAAGGAGACAAAGGAAAAACUUUUGAUGAAACUAGAUGAGCUCGGUGUAAUAUAUGAGCAGGAUCUUUCGCUAGUCCCAGAGAAUAACAUUCAAGACAUUCUAAAGCCCAUAGAUUUGCGGAAGUGGCAUAGAUUUUUUGAAAUGUAAGAUAUAUUGUAGAUGUAUGGAUAAGGCGUGUUUAUUCUGAUUAUGCGUAUGCUCAGAAUCUAUGAUGAGGUUGACUUGUUUUAAAAAAUAAAUUCGGGGCACUUGUAAUUACAAAGUGCUUCCUAUUUACGAAACAUUUUCAUGCACAUUGUACAGAUUGCAAUUGAUGUCUGUGAUCAAAAGUUGCGAACUGAUAAAAAAAAAAUGUCACUCGCAUUUAUAACUGACGUUGUUCAGACAAUAUACUGUAUUAUUCAACUAUAAUGUCUAAUCAUUAAAAUUAUUAUCAACCUCUAACCUUUGGAAGAAACUAUUUAAAAAAAUUAAUGCUUUUUAAAAGUUUUGAUGCUAUUUUAACAAUUAUAUCUUAUGUAAUUACAUGACACAUAAAUGUGUUGAUUUAGUAACAAGAUACAUAUACACAAAUUAUGUGCCCCAAAACUAAAAUUAACUGUUUACAUUUUGUGCAGGUUUAAAUUGUUAGACUUAUAAUUAUAGUUUGUUGCAAUUCAUCAGAUUUAGUCCUGAAUGUUCUUUCAAUCAACCACUUAAUUAGGGUAUUAAUAAAAACAUGAUGAGAUGUUAUAAAAUGUUAUUACAGCCCGAGAGGAUACCUCCUCCAUCUAUCUAUCUCCUGUAACAUUUGGACGAAGUACUCCAGGAACUUCAUCAAGUCCCAUUUCAAGUCUGGAAGAUUCAUCCAGUUUUGGUGGAAAUUCAAGUCAUGAAGAGUCAUCUUUGCCAUCACUUCCAGGUACACAACAGUUCUAAGUAAAUGUCCUCAUUUGAAAUUGAAUUUGUUUUAAAUUAUCAAGUAUUUUUGUCUCAGUCAUAACAUGGCCACUUUCUGAGCCCAGCAUGCCAAACCUGGCUCAAAAAGCCCUUAAAUGACUUGUUAGAAAGGUACAUGGCCUUUAAUAGGAUAUGACUAGGAUUAUAUCUUUCAGAUUUGUUACCUGGGGGAAAUGUGGGACAAUAACUUGAUUGUACAUUUAGAGGGUCGUGCUUCCAAAUUGAUUUUUAGUGGCCAUGUGUAACUUUGCAUGAUUGCAACUGUAGGAUGAGAGUUUACCAGCAUGGUGUUUGUGUGAAAUGUUAUGUGGUGUAGUGUAGUAAUAAUUGUUGUUUUUAUGCGGGGGAUUUUAAUAUAGACCUAAACUAUUUUAUAUUGAUGUUUAUAGACCAAGGCAGGCUGUCACUUGGAAGCAAAGGCAUUUCAAUGGAUGACAGUGGAGGCAAUCUUGGCGAUGUGAACUGGAACAAAGUACCAAACAGAGUCAAAAAGUAUCUGCAGAAAGGUACACGACUUCCUCCAUCAGAAAGAAAAGAGCUAGUAAGAUUUAUAGUUGAUGAAUGUAUUUAUGACAAUAAACCUUACCCACGCACUUCUCAACUAAGAAUAGUGGCAGCAAAAGCUGUUAGCAAAUAUCCGAAAUCUUUGUUGGAUGUGUGCGACGGAGACACAGUAGGAACCGGUUAUGACAGUUUGUUAAACCAGUUAGUCAAUCGUGUUGACAAUAUUAGCAGACCUAAGUCGCAGGUAUCAUUGAAAGUGCAUGUGCAGCUGAAGGAUGGUAAGCAAUUUAAACGUAAACUAAUGGAUAGUUACGGAUGCGCAAGAUGGCAACCAGAUGGUUUGCCAGAAGGACAAACAGAAGCCACUCAAAAGGAUAUUAUGGAAAAGUUACAGGAUAAGUUCACGAAAAAUGAGAAUGGAGAUGACGUGGAAACUGACAUGAUGUUGACCUAUGCAACCCAACGCAGACAUAUUAACAGCAGAGACCAUCUCUUGAGUGACACAUUAGUGAAAUGGCCCUACCUAUUCCAAGAGCAGUUUCUAAUUCUCCACUGCAACUACCUGCUGGACUUCAAUAUUAUGGAAAAAAUGAAGAUGGCCUAUGCAAAUAAAGUCCCCAAACUACUUAGAUAUUUUGAAGACCAACCCAAAGAAGUAGUUAAAGAGAUAGAGUUAGCAAAGAAAAAGAGAGAAGACAACACACCAGAAAUUAUAGGUCUUCUGACUUGUUUAGGUGCCUACUUUGAAGAGGAAAUUGAACAAGUGAUACUGACCAUGCCCACUGAUCAGGAGAGCCUCUGACAGCUUGCGUCUUCUCUCUGUCAAUUGAAAAACAGGUCACCACCAAAGUUCAUAAUCCUUUGGCAGCUGUAUGUAUUUUGUUUGGCGCAUACUAUGUUUUCAAUCUGAAUUAUCUGUUAGCUAGCCACACAGUAUUGGAAUUCAUACAGAGAGUUAUGCUUGGGAUCAACCCCGAGAAAGGAUCCAAGAAGUCCAGGACAGCUAGAGGCAAAAAACCAGCAAUAAGUCCAAAGAUCUUACAGCUUACCAACGCAUGAGUGAGUUUUGGAUCACUAAAUAUUGUAAAAGAAGCAAGAUUAUAUACUCCAUCUGUCUUUGCUGCCAGCCAUUACAACCUUUAGAUGGAAGGUUAGUUGUCACCAUUGACAAAAAAUUGAUAAUUAUAUGAUUUGUUUGUAGCUCUCAAUCAGCAAUAUAAUAGUGUGUUGCAGUUCUUUUUUUAAACUUGUUUAAACUAUGAUUCAAAAAGGUGAUAAUUUGAUAAUUAGCAAUUGCUGGUUUGAAUUAUGAGGAAUCACGGACAUGGUUUUGAUAGUUAAGUUACCCGUUUAGGGUGUGAUAUGCAGGAAGCCUAAUGUGUGUCAAAUUUGAUCUGCAGGGUGCACUCGCGUGCUAAAAUUAUCCUUGUGAGUAUGGUUUUCACAUCUAUUGAAUAUUCAUGGUUGUCAUAGCAGCAUCUCAGACAGUAUAAUAAAGUGAUAGUAAACAGCCUGCUGUUGACAUAAAAUUGAUAAUUACAGUGUACAGGUAUUUAAAGUCAGGCUCUGGAGGAAAAACAUUUUUUGUUUUGUUGUAGAACUGAUUUUUCUAAGACAGAAAAAUGUAGUUUGAUCAAAAGCUGAGCAACGGUGAAUGAAAUGCAGAUUUUUGAAUAUUUCAAAACUGGGCGAAAAAGAUGUGUAAAAUGGGCGGUUAUGCCCCUUUUUCCCCCAGUUUUUAAAUAUUAAAAAAUCUGUAUAUCAUUCACCUUUGCUCAGUUUUUGAUCAAACUACUUUUUUCUGUCUUAGAAAAAUCAAUUCUACAACAUAUCAAACAUUUUUUUUUUCUUCGGAGCCUGACUUUAAGCUAAAUACAUGUAUUGGUAUUCCAUAAGUAGCAUUGAAAGGUCUAAAGCUUUAGCUUUAAUUACCAUGUUUGUUUAACAGUAGGCUAGCAAAUUUUCUGUACUAUUACUGAUUGAAACUUGUGUUUUUGCUAUGUUUACCAGUAGGCCAGCUAAUUUACUAUUACAGAUUAAAAAUUGUUAGAACUAUGAUAAAAAAUAGAAAAAGUUGAUAAUCAGCAAUUACAGUAUUUGAAUUAAAGGAAUCACAGAUGUGGUUUUGAUAGUAAAGUGAUCCGGUAUUUGCAAAUGAUAUUUAACAAGCAAGUAGAGUGAUUAAAUGAUAAUUACAGUGAUAUAAGCAGGUUAAAUAAUACUCAAAUUUACUGUACUAUUUCUGAUUGAAACUUGUGUUUUUGCUAUGUUUACCAAUAGGCCAGCUAAUUUACUAUUACAGAUUAAAAAUUGUUAGAACUAUGAUAAAAAAUGGGAAAACUUGAUAAUCAGCAAUUACAGUACAGUAUUUGAAUUAUAGGAAUCACAGAUGUGGUUUUGAUAGUAAAGUGAUCCGGUAUUUGCAAAUGAUAUUUAACAAGCAAGUAAAGUGAUUAAAUGAUAAUUACAGUGAUAUAAGCAGGUUAAAUAAUACUCAAAUUUACUGUACUAUUUCUGAUUGAAACUUGUGUUUUUGCUAUGUUUACCAAUAGGCCAGCUAAUUUAUUAUUACAGAUUAAAAAUUGUUAAAACUAUGAUAAAAAAAAGGGUAUAAAAACUUGAUAAUUAGCAAUUACAGUAUUUGAAUUAAAGGAAUCACAGACGUGGUUUUGAUAGUAAAGUGAUCCGGUUUUGCAAAUGAUAGUUAACAAGCAAGUAGAGUGAUUAAAUGAUAAUUACAGUGUUAUAAAGCAGGUUAAAUAAUACUCAAAUUUACUGUACUAUUUCUGAUUGAAACUUGUGUUUUUGCUAUGUUUACCAAUAGGCCAGCUAAUUUAUUAUUACAGAUUAAAAAUUGUUAAAACUAUGAUAAAAAAAAAAGGGUAUAAAAACUUGAUAAUUAGCAAUUACAGUAUUUGAAUUAAAGGAAUCACAGACGUGGUUUUGAUAGUAAAGUGAUCCGGUUUUGCAAAUGAUAGUUAACAAGCAAGUAGAGUGAUUAAAUGAUAAUUACAGUGUUAUAAGCAGGUUAAAUAAUACUCAAAUUUACUGUACUAUUUCUGAUUGAAACUUGUGUUUUUGCUAUGUUUACCAAUAGGCCAGCUAAUUUAUUAUUACAGAUUAAAAAUUGUUAAAACUAUGAUAAAAAAAAAGGGUAUAAAAACUUGAUAAUUAGCAAUUACAGUAUUUGAAUUAAAGGAAUCACAGACGUGGUUUUGAUAGUAAAGUGAUCCGGUUUUGCAAAUGAUAGUUAACAAGCAAGUAGAGUGUUUAAAUGAUAAUUACAGUGUUAUAAGCAGGUUAAAUAAUUCAAAAAAUUUAAAUACUCAGUAUUUAUUGUAUGCAAAUUUUAUAGUUUUGUAAAGAGUUAUAUAUGUUGAAUAAGAUUUACAGAUUUGGUUUUACUGUAUCUUAAAUUCGACAAUCGUCGACAGUAAUUCACCAUAUUUUUACAGAAAUUCAUUAUUAACGAUACCUGUGAUUCUACAUGUUAACAGUUGACCGACAUUCUGAUUGACAGUAUUUUUACGGUUUUCAGAAAUUAUUAAUAACGUCGCCUGUGAUUCUACAUUACGAUUAACAGUAAUUUGACAGUAUUUUUUACAGGAAUUUAACUACUAACGUCAUCUGUGAUCCUACCGGCAUUCAGAUUGACAGUAAUUUCCCGUUUUUUUACGGAAUUUCAUUGUUAACGGUACCUGUGAUUUUACAUAACGUUUGACAGCGGCACUCAUAUUGACAGUAAUUUGACGGUAUUUUUACAUUUGACGGUAUGUUUACAUGGAAUUUUUCUAACAACGUUACCUGUGAUUCUACGUUACAGUUGACGACCGGCAUUCAGAUUGACAGUAAUUUACUGUAUUUUUACAUAAAUUUACUUUUAACGGUAAAUGUGAUUCUACAUUACGGUUGACUACCGGUAUUUAAAUCAACAGUAAUUUACCGUAGUUCUACAUAAAUUUACUUUUAACGGUAAAUGUGAUUUUACAUUACGGUAGACGACUGGCGUCCUGGUUGCCAGUAUUUUGAUGGUAUUUUUACAGGAAUUUAUUAUUUACGGUAAAUGUAAUUAUACAUUACGGUAGACGACUGGCGUCCUGGUUGCCAGUAUUUUGACGGUAUUUUUACAGGAAUUUAUUACUUACGGUAAAUGUAAUUAUACAUUACGGUAGACGACUGGCGUCCUGGUUGCCAGUAUUUUGACGGUAUUUCUACAGGAAUUUAUUAUUUACGGUAAAUGUAAUUAUACAUUACGGUAGACAACUGGCGUCCUGGUUGCCAAUAUUUUGACGGUAUUUUUACAGGAAAAUUUCUAACAGUGCACUUACACAGGAAGGCGGACGGAGUGGCUCGUUCGAUACGAACGAGCCAACGAAUGGUGCGAUCUGCACGUGUUCCGAUUCAAAUUCCGAUUCUUGCCUGAGAUUGCGGAGAGAACGAAAGCACAACUUUAUGUGAAUAAACUGAACAGAGGAGUCGAAAAUUUAUCGACAAAAAAAGCCAAAAAGGAAAAAGAUCAGGACAAGAAAGUUAUGGAAGAAAGCACAAAAACAACGAUCGACAUGCUGCACGCGAAAAAGAACAACAGUAUACACCGUUAUCUUAAAGACGAUGGACUUGACGUUGGGGGGAGGGGAGGGGAAAACAAAAGACGACAGCAAUCGUCCAACGAAGAGAUCGCAAACCGGAACGACGAAUUUUUUUUUUUCAAAGGGAGGCAACGUGUUCGAAUUCCGACUUUGGUUUCGAACGUGGAGAAAAGAAUACAGACUGGGAAAGACCGACGCUCGACGACAAAUGGAAACUCUACAGAAGAUAGAGUCCAAUAGUAUUAUACCGCUGUAUAAAAAAAAACAGUGGAUUGUGACAGGUGAAAAAACGACA
RNAcentral lists this unclassified non-coding RNA (8034 nucleotides) under Anneissia japonica. RNAcentral's name for it is "uncharacterized LOC117117211, transcript variant X7". The record is from RNAcentral. Lineage: Eukaryota; Metazoa; Echinodermata; Crinoidea; Comatulida; Comatulidae.